RNAcentral lists this ribosomal RNA (478 nucleotides) under uncultured bacterium. RNAcentral's name for it is "partial 16S ribosomal RNA". It matches the Rfam family "Bacterial small subunit ribosomal RNA", at positions 28 to 507 of the family's 1533-position model. The record is from RNAcentral.
GAUGAACGCUGGCGGCGUGCUUAACACAUGCAAGUCGAACGAGAAGUGAAGACGGAAACCUUCGGGCGGAAGGCUUUAUUUCGAGUGGCGGACGGGUGAGUAACGCGUGGGUAACCUGCCUCAUACAGGGGGAUAACAGUUGGAAACGACUGUUAAUACCGCAUAAGACCACAGCACCGCAUGGUGCGGGGGUAAAAACUCCGGUGGUAUGAGAUGGACCCGCGUUCGAUUAGCCAGUUGGCGGGGUAACGGCCCACCAAAGCGACGAUCGAUAGCCGAUCUGAGAGGAUGACCGGCCACAUUGGGACUGAGACACGGCCCAAACUCCUACGGGAGGCAGCAGUGGGGAAUAUUGCACAAUGGGGGAAACCCUGAUGCAGCGACGCCGCGUGAGUGAAGAGGUAUUUCGGUAUGUAAAGCUCUAUCAGCAGGGAAGAAAAUGACGGUACCUGAGUAAGAAGCCCCGGCUAACUACGUG